GGUUGUGGCUCAAUGGCAGAGUGCUUGCCUAGCAUGAGUAAGGUACUGGGUUUGAUUCUCAGCACCA
This 67-nucleotide transfer RNA is filed under the name Marmota monax (woodchuck). RNAcentral describes it as "tRNA.Ala". The record is from RNAcentral. Lineage: Eukaryota; Metazoa; Chordata; Mammalia; Rodentia; Sciuridae.